GAAGCUGGCCAGACAGUCGCUGCGCAUGCAAGUGCGGAGAGGAAAGUCCGGGCUCCACAGAGCAGAAUGCCGGUUAACGACCGGACACCGUGAGGUGAUGAACAGUGCCACAGAAAAUAUACCGCCGAUGGCCGCGCAAGCGGAUCAGGUAAGGGCGAACCGGUGCGGUAAGAGCGCACCGCACUCCCGGUAACGGGAGCGGCACGGUAAACUCCAUUCGGAGCAAGACCAAAUAAGCAGGCUAUGACGUUGCUCGCGUCGUCUGCGGGUAGGUUGCUCGAGCGUCAGGUAACGAAACGCCUAGAGGAAUGACUGUCCACGACAGAACCCGGCUUAUCGGCCAGCUUCACUU
Molecule: RNase P RNA, 352 nt
Filed under: Betaproteobacteria bacterium RBG_16_56_24
Lineage: Bacteria; Pseudomonadati; Pseudomonadota; Betaproteobacteria
Description: RNase P RNA component class A
Rfam family: Bacterial RNase P class A
About the family: Ribonuclease P (RNase P) is a ubiquitous endoribonuclease, found in archaea, bacteria and eukarya as well as chloroplasts and mitochondria. Its best characterised activity is the generation of mature 5'-ends of tRNAs by cleaving the 5'-leader elements of precursor-tRNAs. Cellular RNase Ps are ribonucleoproteins.
Source: RNAcentral